AUGCAAGUCGAGGGGUAUAGUUGCUAUACUAGUAGACCGGCGCACGGGUGCGUAACGCGCAUGCGCUCUCCCUUUCACAGAGGGAUAUCCCCCAGAAAUUUGGAUUAAUACCUCUUAUUAUAGCAGUUUCUCAUGAGACCCCUAUUUAAGUCACACCGGUGAAAGAUGAGCAUGCGUCCCAUUAUCUAUAUGGGGAGGUGACGGCUUACCCUGGGAACGAUGGGGAGGGGUCCUGAGAGGGAGAUCCCCCCCACU
RNAcentral lists this ribosomal RNA (255 nucleotides) under Flavobacterium sp. It_5_c. Its description in RNAcentral is "partial 16S ribosomal RNA". It matches the Rfam family "Bacterial small subunit ribosomal RNA", at positions 55 to 314 of the family's 1533-position model. The record is from RNAcentral. Lineage: Bacteria; Pseudomonadati; Bacteroidota; Flavobacteriia; Flavobacteriales; Flavobacteriaceae.